UGCAGUCGAGCGAACAGAUAAGGAGCUUGCUCCUUUGACGUUAGCGGCGGACGGGUGAGUAACACGUGGGUAACCUACCUAUAAGACUGGGAUAACUUCGGGAAACCGGAGCUAAUACCGGAUAAUAUUUCGAACCGCAUGGUUCGAUAGUGAAAGAUGGUUUUGCUAUCACUUAUAGAUGGACCCGCGCCGUAUUAGCUAGUUGGUAAGGUAACGGCUUACCAAGGCGACGAUACGUAGCCGACCUGAGAGGGUGAUCGGCCACACUGGAACUGAGACACGGUCCAGACUCCUACGGGAGGCAGCAGUAGGGAAUCUUCCGCAAUGGGCGAAAGCCUGACGGAGCAACGCCGCGUGAGUGAUGAAGGUCUUCGGAUCGUAAAACUCUGUUAUUAGGGAAGAACAUACGUGUAAGUAACUGUGCACGUCUUGACGGUACCUAAUCAGAAAGCCACGGCUAACUACGUGCCAGCAGCCGCGGUAAUACGUAGGUGGCAAGCGUUAUCCGGAAUUAUUGGGCGUAAAGCGCGCGUAGGCGGUUUUUUAAGUCUGAUGUGAAAGCCCACGGCUCAACCGUGGAGGGUCAUUGGAAACUGGAAAACUUGAGUGCAGAAGAGGAAAGUGGAAUUCCAUGUGUAGCGGUGAAAUGCGCAGAGAUAUGGAGGAACACCAGUGGCGAAGGCGACUUUCUGGUCUGUAACUGACGCUGAUGUGCGAAAGCGUGGGGAUCAAACAGGAUUAGAUACCCUGGUAGUCCACGCCGUAAACGAUGAGUGCUAAGUGUUAGGGGGUUUCCGCCCCUUAGUGCUGCAGCUAACGCAUUAAGCACUCCGCCUGGGGAGUACGACCGCAAGGUUGAAACUCAAAGGAAUUGACGGGGACCCGCACAAGCGGUGGAGCAUGUGGUUUAAUUCGAAGCAACGCGAAGAACCUUACCAAAUCUUGACAUCCUUUGACAACUCUAGAGAUAGAGCUUUCCCCUUCGGGGGACAAAGUGACAGGUGGUGCAUGGUUGUCGUCAGCUCGUGUCGUGAGAUGUUGGGUUAAGUCCCGCAACGAGCGCAACCCUUAAGCUUAGUUGCCAUCAUUAAGUUGGGCACUCUAAGUUGACUGCCGGUGACAAACCGGAGGAAGGUGGGGAUGACGUCAAAUCAUCAUGCCCCUUAUGAUUUGGGCUACACACGUGCUACAAUGGACAAUACAAAGGGCAGCGAAACCGCGAGGUCAAGCUAAUCCCAUAAAGUUGUUCUCAGUUCGGAUUGUAGUCUGCAACUCGACUACAUGAAGCUGGAAUCGCUAGUAAUCGUAGAUCAGCAUGCUACGGUGAAUACGUUCCCGGGUCUUGUACACACCGCCCGUCACACCACGAGAGUUUGUAACACCCGAAGCCGGUGGAGUAACCAU
This 1404-nucleotide ribosomal RNA is filed under the name Staphylococcus haemolyticus. Its description in RNAcentral is "bacterial SSU rRNA". It matches the Rfam family "Bacterial small subunit ribosomal RNA". The record is from RNAcentral. Lineage: Bacteria; Bacillati; Bacillota; Bacilli; Caryophanales; Staphylococcaceae.